AUACUUGAAUGCAAGGAAAUUUAUCGACAGACGGUUUUACCAAUUUUUUAUCAUGUAGAUCCAUCUGAUGUAGAAAGACAAAGUGGGAGCUUUGCAGAUGCAUUUAAUGAGCUUGAGAAUAAUUUUAAGGAGAAAAUAGAAAUGAUGCCCCGGUGGAGGGCUGACUUGAUGAAAGCUGCUACUAUAUCUGGAUGGGAUUCUCGGGUGAUAAGUGUAUGGGGCUGAUUUGGACAGCAUAAAAGAUUUGCAAUUUGCUGUUCACAUUGCAUUAACUAAUUAUUUUAUUAGGUCUAACAGAAAAAAAAAAAGGUUUCAGGACUUGAUGGAGAAAACAAAUAAGCAGUCAGGGCUUCAUUGAGAAAUAUGUAAAGUAUUAGGACUCUGAUGUAAUUAAUUCUUUUGUUGUAAAAUGAGUGCUUAGAAAGAAAAUGUUGAUGUAACAGAACCUUUCAUGAUCUUUUCAUUAUUUUUCUCUGUUUAUCUUCACUAUACUGUUUGUCUCGGUACUUUUUAUUGUAUUAGGUCCGAGGCUAAACUUGUGAAAGAAAUUGUGGAACAUGUUUUGAGGAAAUUGAAUCAUGUAUCCUUAGAAGUUGCAAAGGGCCUGAUUGGAAUAGACUCACACAUUGGACAUAUUAAGAAUUUAUUACACAUUGGAUUGCCGGAUGUUCGUAUUUUAGGAAUUUGGGGUAUGGGUGGCAUAGGCAAAACAACUAUUGCCAAAGCUAUUUUCAACACUUUCUCAUAUCAAUUUGAAGGUUGCAGCUUUAUUGAAAAUAUUAAGGAAGUAUCAGAACAAUUUGGUGGGGUAGUUCAUUUAAGAGAAAAGAUUUUUUCUGAAUUACUGGAGGAAGAACAUCUGCAUAAGGGAACGAACAUGAGAUCUGUUUCCAUUAAAGACAGGCUCCGGCGCAAAAAGGUUUUGCUUGUUCUUGAUGAUUUGAAUGAUGUAGAGCAACUGGAAUAUCUAAUAGAAAGGUGUGAUUUUGGUGUGGGAAGUAGGGUUAUUGUGACAUCUAGAGAUAGGGG
Molecule: unclassified non-coding RNA, 1029 nt
Filed under: Hevea brasiliensis (rubber tree)
Lineage: Eukaryota; Viridiplantae; Streptophyta; Magnoliopsida; Malpighiales; Euphorbiaceae
Source: RNAcentral